AGGCGAGUCUCGCUGCCAACCACCACUGCACUGGCUGCCGCGGCGCCCGACGUGUCUGGUGAGUCUCUACAUACUCCUUCCAUCAACGUACGCAACGGAAAUAAUGGCAAAACUGAAUUGAUGAAUAGAGCUGGUAUAGAUCCUGGUGUGUUUAAAACAAAAGCUUUUUACACCAUCGACGAGAGCUGGGUCAAGAAAGCUAAUGGAUCAAUGUCUGACCUGCAAAUAUGGGCCAGGGAAAUGUAAAGAGGGAAGAGAAAUUUGGAGGAUGUAUCAGUAAGGACGAUUUUAAAUCUGAGGUGCAUGCUGAAGUGACUUCACAGUGUUAUAUAUGAAGAUGCUGAACUUAUACUUUUACAAUGCUUCAGCUAUAUGUGCACCUCCAAUAUACCUAUAAGUGGAAAUAUAAUUCAGUGAACAACAAAUGAGACUGCAGAAAAUUUACACAUUCAAAACAGACUUCAAUUGUUUUGUUUGUUGGCUGUGUAAGUUCCAAAAUAGAGGCCUAAUUUCAUGCUCAGCGAUAGGCAAUGAAAUGAAUAAAGUUGACGAAGAAGGGGGCAAGCAUUGGUUGCAUGAAUUUGACCAAGUGAGAGAAAAGUUUGCUGUAUCUUAUGCCAGCAAUGUGGACAAAACUAGUAUUUCUUUACAACUUCUGCCAAGUCAAACACACAAAACAUAAGGUGACAUGUGGCAUCGUGUGGCCAGCAGUAAACAACAUUCUUGGGUGAUCAGUAAAUUUGAGAAACUGAUAUGUUUUAAGAACAUAAAAUUAAUGCUUCACUUUGCAUCUACUCCCAUUAUUGGAAAGCUUGGAUUGACAGUUAGUCAUAAAUGGCUUUUUUGUUCUGUUUGUGCAGUUAUUGCAAACCACUGUUAUAAAUGGGACUGAUGUACCUUGUAAUAUUUGAAAGCAUCUUUUUAAUAUUCUGCAAUAACAGAAUAGUAGAUAUAGUAGUGUUUUCUCUGAUAACAUGCAUAAUGUUG
Molecule: long non-coding RNA, 987 nt
Organism: Schistocerca nitens (vagrant locust)
Lineage: Eukaryota; Metazoa; Arthropoda; Insecta; Orthoptera; Acrididae
Exons: 3
Source: RefSeq, a predicted model, not a curated record